AAGUCGUAACAAGGUUUCCGUAGGUGAACCUGCGGAAGGAUCAUUAUCAUGUAAUAUCCAGUCAUGCUGCUGCGUGAGCUGUAUAAACCCACCCUGCGUACGCUGUCCUGUUGCUUCCGCCGUGCGCGCAAGUGCGCACGGCGGAAGGUAAAAAAUAACCGCCGACUUCUAGUAGGUAAUCUGUCUGAAUGAAUAGGAACAAUGAAAAGUUAAAACUUUCAGCAACGGAUCUCUUGGUUCUCGCAUCGAUGAAGAACGCAGCGAAAUGCGAUAAGUAGUGUGAAUUGCAGAAUCUAGUGAAUCAUCGAAUCUUUGAACGCACAUUGCGCCUUCCGGCAUUCCGGGAGGCAUGCCUGUUCGAGAGUCAUUGACAACCGCUUCGAGCCCCCCUGCUCCCCGAGUUCUCGAGGGUUGUCGGGGUGGGAUUCGCUGCUGGCGGUGGAGGAAUGACUUGCCGAGCUUGCCCGCCCUGCUCGGCAAAUCUCCUCCCCGCUGAAAUUCGGCGAAGGGCUUUUUCAGAUAUCGGUGGUGGGAUUGAAGGCGAUAUAAAUGCUCCCCGGCCCCCCGGGCAGAUUUUGCCAAUCCCCUCAACUUCCAGAUGCUCGGCUCGCAGGCUGUCUGGUGUUCAUUAACCCACAUCACGAUGGAUGCCACACUAGCCGACUGAGUAGGAAGAACCGAGCGCCCAAGCUAUGUUAACU
Molecule: ribosomal RNA, 701 nt
Filed under: uncultured Pyronemataceae
Lineage: Eukaryota; Fungi; Ascomycota; Pezizomycetes; Pezizales; Pyronemataceae
Also listed under: 1 other name
Description: eukaryotic LSU rRNA
Rfam family: 5.8S ribosomal RNA (bases 214-367)
Source: RNAcentral